RNAcentral lists this ribosomal RNA (1156 nucleotides) under uncultured Burkholderiales bacterium. RNAcentral's name for it is "bacterial SSU rRNA". It matches the Rfam family "Bacterial small subunit ribosomal RNA", at positions 106 to 1261 of the family's 1533-position model. The record is from RNAcentral. Lineage: Bacteria; Pseudomonadati; Pseudomonadota; Betaproteobacteria; Burkholderiales.
GUGAGUAAUACAUCGGAACGUGCCCAGUAGCGGGGGAUAACCUCUCGAAAGAGAGGCUAAUACCGCAUACGUCCUACGGGAGAAAGAGGGGGAUCGCAAGACCUCUCACUAUUGGAGCGGCCGAUGUCGGAUUAGCUAGUUGGCGGGGUAAUGGCCCACCAAGGCUACGAUCCGUAGCUGGUCUGAGAGGACGACCAGCCACACUGGAACUGAGACACGGUCCAGACUCCUACGGGAGGCAGCAGUGGGGAAUUUUGGACAAUGGGCGAAAGCCUGAUCCAGCCAUGCCGCGUGGGUGAAGAAGGCUUUCGGGUUGUAAAGCCCUUUCGGCUGGGACGAAAAGGUCCGCGCUAACACCGCGGAUCCAUGACGGUACCAGCAGAAGAAGCACCGGCUAACUACGUGCCAGCAGCCGCGGUAAUACGUAGGGUGCAGGCGUUAAUCGGAAUUACUGGGCGUAAAGCGUGCGCAGGCGGUCUCUUAAGACAGGUGUGAAAUCCCCGAGCUUAACUUGGGAACUGCGCUUGUAACUGAGAGGCUAGAGUGUGGCAGAGGGGGGUGGAAUUCCACGUGUAGCAGUGAAAUGCGUAGAGAUGUGGAGGAACACCGAUGGCGAAGGCAGCCCCCUGGGCUAACACUGACGCUCAUGCACGAAAGCGUGGGGAGCAAACAGGAUUAGAUACCCUGGUAGUCCACGCCCUAAACUAUGUCAACUGGUUGUCGGGGAAGCAAUUCCUUGGUAACGAAGCUAACGCGUGAAGUUGACCGCCUGGGGAGUACGGCCGCAAGGUUAAAACUCAAAGGAAUUGACGGGGACCCGCACAAGCGGUGGAUUAUGUGGAUUAAUUCGAUGCAACGCGAAAAACCUUACCUACCCUUGACAUGCCAGGAACCCUCCAGAGAUGGAGGGGUGCCCGAAAGGGAACCUGGACACAGGUGCUGCAUGGCUGUCGUCAGCUCGUGUCGUGAGAUGUUGGGUUAAGUCCCGCAACGAGCGCAACCCUUGCCAUUAGUUGCCACAUUCAGUUGGGCACUCUAAUGGGACUGCCGGUGACAAACCGGAGGAAGGUGGGGAUGACGUCAGUCCUCAUGGCCCUUAUGGGUAGGGCUUCACACGUAAUACAAUGGCCGGUACAGAGGGCAGCCAACCCGCGAG